Molecule: non-coding RNA, 553 nt
Organism: Carica papaya (papaya)
Lineage: Eukaryota; Viridiplantae; Streptophyta; Magnoliopsida; Brassicales; Caricaceae
Source: RefSeq, a predicted model, not a curated record
UAUACUACAUACAUAUAUCUAUAAAGGAAAAAGUUGUUCCCGUAGCACCAAACCUUAUCCGCGCACACAGAAAAUUGAAGUGUGAAUCCGAUGACGAGGUGCAUCCAUUGGAAUCCUUCACUUUUGGGCCUGCAACAGACUAGAAUUCUGAACCCAAAUCCCUGUUUUCAAACAAGGAUUCCUUUGCAGUGCAGCAUAAUUCGAUGCAAAAACUCACUGCUGACUCGCAGGUCGAAUCCCCGUGCCCUCAACACUUUUCUUUUUGCUCUCAAUACCCCGCCCCAAAAAGGAGAUAUUACUCAAUUUCUUCAAACAAGUGCGGGACUUUUGUUUUUGUACUGGUUUGCAAAUUUCUUGGUUCCAGAUAUAGUCUCCAAGUAUUUCCAUUUCGACAAGUUUAAUGAAGAUCAGAAGUCUACUGACGACUGAGGAUAUGAAGAAGCAAUGGUGGACGUACACUUUUGAGCAGCACCAAUUAUUUUAUUUUCAUUCAUCUAAAAAAAGAGAGAGAGAGAAAAAAAAAAAAAAAAAAAAAACCCUCUUUUUACUCUGA